Molecule: ribosomal RNA, 253 nt
Filed under: uncultured bacterium
Lineage: Bacteria
Description: partial 16S ribosomal RNA
Rfam family: Bacterial small subunit ribosomal RNA
Source: RNAcentral
UACGGAGGGUGCAAGCGUUAAUCGGAAUUACUGGGCGUAAAGCGCGCGUAGGCGGUUUUUUAAGUCGGAUGUGAAAGCCCCGGGCUCAACCUGGGGACUGCAUCCGAUACUGGAAGACUAGAAUGCGGGAGAGGGAGGUAGAAUUCCAUGUGUAGCAGUGAAAUGCGUAGAUAUAUGGAGGAAUACCAGUGGCGAAGGCGGCCUCCUGGCUCGACAUUGACGCUGAGGUGCGAAAGCGUGGGGAGCAAACGGG